UGGGGAAUUUUGGACAAUGGGCGAAAGCCUGAUCCAGCAAUGCCGCGUGUGUGAAGAAGGCCUUCGGGUUGUAAAGCACUUUUGUCCGGAAAGAAAUCCUUGGCUCUAAUACAGUCGGGGGAUGACGGUACCGGAAGAAUAAGCACCGGCUAACUACGUGCCAGCAGCCGCGGUAAUACGUAGGGUGCAAGCGUUAAUCGGAAUUACUGGGCGUAAAGCGUGCGCAGGCGGUUUGCUAAGACCGAUGUGAAAUCCCCGGGCUCAACCUGGGAACUGCAUUGGUGACUGGCAGGCUAGAGUAUGGCAGAGGGGGGUAGAAUUCCACGUGUAGCAGUGAAAUGCGUAGAGAUGUGGAGGAAUACCGAUGGCGAAGGCAGCCCCCUGGGCCAAUACUGACGCUCAUGCACGAAAGCGUGGGGAGCAAACAGGAUUAGAUACCCUGGUAGUCCACGCCCUAAACGAUGUCAACUAGUUGUUGGGGAUUCAUUUCCUUAGUAACGUAGCUAACGCGUGAAGUUGACCGCCUGGGGAGUACGGUCGCAAGAUUAAAACUCAAAUGAAUUGACGGGGU
RNAcentral lists this ribosomal RNA (571 nucleotides) under uncultured bacterium. Its description in RNAcentral is "partial 16S ribosomal RNA". It matches the Rfam family "Bacterial small subunit ribosomal RNA", at positions 355 to 919 of the family's 1533-position model. The record is from RNAcentral.